Molecule: ribosomal RNA, 468 nt
Filed under: uncultured bacterium
Lineage: Bacteria
Description: partial 16S ribosomal RNA
Rfam family: Bacterial small subunit ribosomal RNA
Source: RNAcentral
GACGAACGCUGGCGGCGUGCUUAACACAUGCAAGUCGAACGGAAAGGCCCUGCUUUUGUGGGGUGCUCGAGUGGCGAACGGGUGAGUAACACGUGAGUAACCUGCCCUUGACUUUGGGAUAACUUCAGGAAACUGGGGCUAAUACCGGAUAGGAGCUCCUGCUGCAUGGUGGGGGUUGGAAAGUUUCGGCGGUUGGGGAUGGACUCGCGGCUUAUCAGCUUGUUGGUGGGGUAGUGGCUUACCAAGGCUUUGACGGGUAGCCGGCCUGAGAGGGUGACCGGCCACAUUGGGACUGGGAUACGGCCCGGACUCCUACUGGAGGCAGCAGUGGGGAAUAUUGCACAAUGGGCGGAAGCCGGAUGCAGCAACGCCGCGUGCGAGAUGACGGCCGUCGGGUUGUAAACCGCUUUCGCCUGUGACGAAGCGUGAGUGACGGUAAUGGGUAAAGAAGCACCGGCUAACUACGUG